AUUGCCUUAGUAGCGGCGAGUGAAGCGGCAAAAGCUCAAAUUUGAAAUCUGGCACCUUCGGUGUCCGAGUUGUAAUUUGAAGAUUGUAACCUUGGGGUUGGCUCUUGUCUAUGUUUCUUGGAACAGGACGUCACAGAGGGUGAGAAUCCCGUGCGAUGAGAUGCCCAAUCCUAUGUAAGGUGCUUUCGAAGAGUCGAGUUGUUUGGGAAUGCAGCUCUAAGUGGGUGGUAAAUUCCAUCUAAAGCUAAAUAUUGGCGAGAGACCGAUAGCGAACAAGUACAGUGAUGGAAAGAUGAAAAGAACUUUGAAAAGAGAGUGAAAAAGUACGUGAAAUUGUUGAAAGGGAAGGGUUUGAGAUCAGACUCGAUAUUUUGUGAGCCUUGCCUUCGUGGCGGGGUGACCCGCAGCUUAUCGGGCCAGCAUCGGUUUGGGCGGUAGGAUAAUGGCGUAGGAAUGUGACUUUGCUUCGGUGAAGUGUUAUAGCCUGCGUUGAUGCUGCCUGCCUAGACCGA
RNAcentral lists this ribosomal RNA (512 nucleotides) under Meyerozyma guilliermondii. RNAcentral describes it as "eukaryotic LSU rRNA". It matches the Rfam family "Eukaryotic large subunit ribosomal RNA", at positions 74 to 591 of the family's 3401-position model. The record is from RNAcentral. Lineage: Eukaryota; Fungi; Ascomycota; Pichiomycetes; Serinales; Debaryomycetaceae.